GAUGAACGCUGGCGGCGUGCCUAAUACAUGCAAGUCGAGCGAACGGACGAGAAGCUUGCUUCUCUGAUGUUAGCGGCGGACGGGUGAGUAACACGUGGAUAACCUACCUAUAAGACUGGGAUAACUUCGGGAAACCGGAGCUAAUACCGGAUAAUAUUUUGAACCGCAUGGUUCAAAAGUGAAAGACGGUCUUGCUGUCACUUAUAGAUGGAUCCGCGCUGCAUUAGCUAGUUGGUAAGGUAACGGCUUACCAAGGCAACGAUGCAUAGCCGACCUGAGAGGGUGAUCGGCCACACUGGAACUGAGACACGGCCCAGACUCCUACGGGAGGCAGCAGUAGGGAAUCUUCCGCAAUGGGCGAAAGCCUGACGGAGCAACGCCGCGUGAGUGAUGAAGGUCUUCGGAUCGUAAAACUCUGUUAUUAGGGAAGAACAUAUGUGUAGGUAACUGUGCACAUCUUGACGGUACCUAAUCAGAAAGCCACGGCUAACUACGUG
RNAcentral lists this ribosomal RNA (497 nucleotides) under uncultured bacterium. Its description in RNAcentral is "partial 16S ribosomal RNA". It matches the Rfam family "Bacterial small subunit ribosomal RNA", at positions 28 to 507 of the family's 1533-position model. The record is from RNAcentral.